GACGAACGCUGGCGGCGGGCUUAACACAUGCAAGUCGAACGGAAAGGCCCUGCUUGUGUGGGGUGCUCGAGUGGCGAACGGGUGAGUAACACGUGAGUAACCUGCCCUUGACUUUGGGAUAACUUCAGGAAACUGGGGCUAAUACCGGAUAGGAGAUCCUGCUGCAGGGUGGGGGGUGGAAAGUUUCGGCGGUUGGGGAUGGACGGGCGGCUUAUCAGCUUGUUGGUGGGGUAGUGGCUGACCAAGGCUUGGACGGGUAGCCGGCCGGGGAGGGUGACCGGCCACCUUGGGACUGAGAGACGGACCAGACUCCUACGGGAGGCAGCAGUGGGGAGUCUUGUCCAGUCGGCGGGCGCCUGAUGCAGCAACGCCGCGUGCGGGAUGACGGUCUUCGGGGUGUAAACCGCAUUCGCCUGUGACGAAGCGUGAGUGACGGUAAUGGGUAAAGAAGCACCGGCUAACUACGUG
RNAcentral lists this ribosomal RNA (468 nucleotides) under uncultured bacterium. RNAcentral describes it as "partial 16S ribosomal RNA". It matches the Rfam family "Bacterial small subunit ribosomal RNA", at positions 28 to 507 of the family's 1533-position model. The record is from RNAcentral.